RNAcentral lists this transfer RNA (87 nucleotides) under Ferrimonas aestuarii. RNAcentral's name for it is "Ferrimonas sp. IMCC35002 tRNA-Leu". It matches the Rfam family "tRNA". Rfam says of the family: Transfer RNA (tRNA) molecules are approximately 80 nucleotides in length. Their secondary structure includes four short double-helical elements and three loops (D, anti-codon, and T loops). RNAcentral also lists the same sequence under 1 other name. The record is from RNAcentral. Lineage: Bacteria; Pseudomonadati; Pseudomonadota; Gammaproteobacteria; Alteromonadales; Ferrimonadaceae.
GCCGAGGUGGCGGAAUUGGUAGACGCAGUGGAUUCAAAAUCCACCGGUGGUGACACCUUGAGGGUUCAAGUCCCUCUCUCGGUACCA